AACGCACAUUGCGCCCACCAGCAUUCUGAUGGGCAUGCCUGUUCGAGCGUCAUUUCAACCCUCAGGCUCCGGCCUGGUGUUGGGGCCCCUGCGGCUUACAAGCGCAGGCCCCGAAAGACAGUGGCGGGCUCUGCACGACCCCGAGCGCAGUAACUUACCUCUCGCUCCAGGGCGUCUGGCGGGCGACCCAGCCGUUAAACUUUGCCCCACGGCAACCUUUUUACAGUUGACCUCGGAUCAGGUAGGAAUACCCGCUGAACUUAA
RNAcentral lists this unclassified non-coding RNA (264 nucleotides) under uncultured fungus. Its description in RNAcentral is "partial contains 5.8S ribosomal RNA, internal transcribed spacer 2, and large subunit ribosomal RNA". Lineage: Eukaryota; Fungi. The record is from RNAcentral.